This 301-nucleotide ribosomal RNA is filed under the name uncultured bacterium. RNAcentral's name for it is "partial 16S ribosomal RNA". It matches the Rfam family "Bacterial small subunit ribosomal RNA", at positions 509 to 808 of the family's 1533-position model. The record is from RNAcentral.
CAGCCGCCGCGGUAAUACAGAGGGUGCGAGCGUUAAUCGGAUUUACUGGGCGUAAAGCGUGCGUAGGCGGCUUCUUAAGUCGGAUGUGAAAUCCCUGAGCUUAACUUAGGAAUUGCAUUCGAUACUGGGAAGCUAGAGUAUGGGAGAGGAUGGUAGAAUUCCAGGUGUAGCGGUGAAAUGCGUAGAUAUGCGGAGGAACACCGAUGGCGAAGGCAGCCCCCUGGGCCAACACUGACGCUCAUGCACGAAAGCGUGGGGAGCAAACAGGAUUAGAUACCCCGUGUAGUCCCUGUCUCUUAUU